GUAGUUAAAGUAUCUUAGGAGUACGCCUUAGUUACAUUAAGGAGGUCUUGACUGUUUCAAGUGACU
Molecule: transfer RNA, 66 nt
Filed under: Volvatella sp. V1
Lineage: Eukaryota; Metazoa; Mollusca; Gastropoda; Volvatellidae
Description: tRNA-Val
Source: RNAcentral